This 360-nucleotide ribosomal RNA is filed under the name uncultured bacterium. RNAcentral describes it as "partial 16S ribosomal RNA". It matches the Rfam family "Bacterial small subunit ribosomal RNA", at positions 338 to 690 of the family's 1533-position model. The record is from RNAcentral.
CCUACGGGAGGCAGCAGUGGGGAAUAUUGCGCAAUGGGCGAAAGCCUGACGCAGCGACGCCGCGUGAGGGAUGAAGGCCCUCGGAUCGUAAACCUCUGUCAGCAGGGAAGAACGGCCACUGUGCUAAUCAGCAGUGAAUUGACGGUACCUGCAAAGGAAGCACCGGCUAACUCCGUGCCAGCAGCCGCGGUAAUACGGAGGGUGCGAGCGUGAAUCGGAUUUACUGGGCGUAAAGCGCGCGUAGGCGGUAUGUCAGGUCAAGGGUGAAAUCCCCGCGCGCAACGUGGGAACUGCCUUUGAAACUGCCAAACUGGAGUGUGUGAGAGGAUAGUGGAAUUCCAGGUGUAGGGGUGAAAUCCG